This is a long non-coding RNA of Lycium barbarum (goji berry), 654 nucleotides long. RefSeq lists it as uncharacterized. NCBI's taxonomy places the organism in Eukaryota, Viridiplantae, Streptophyta, Magnoliopsida, Solanales, Solanaceae. The transcript is spliced from 3 exons. The record is from RefSeq and is a predicted model, not a curated record.
AAGGAACAACGACGCACUGAUAGAAAUUUGAGACGUCGCACCAGGCGUGUACCAAAUGAAGUAUUUGAGAAAUUGAGAAUCAAAAUGUUCAUUCAAUUAAAGAAAACGUAUAUAAAAGAAUGAGUGUUUCUUUAUGCCUGUUCGUGAAGUAUAAAACGGUUCAUUUGUUCCUGAAUAGCUUCUUUCAAAAGGGCUUCUGCUUCCUCGAGUUCAGGGUGAAAGACCAUUUUGUAGUGAAAAAAUAACGAGAAGGCGUAUAUUGAUACGCUCAAUGGACAUGUCUCUCUAGUACUAAUGUAUAGUGAAGAAGCAAUCAACAGAGGUGUGAAAAAGAAAUCUGCAUGGAAAAGUGAAAGCUACAUAAUUGCUCACAGUUCAAUGAUCAAGAAAUAUUUUUAGCAGCCACUAUUUUCCUUUGGAGCUCUCUUUACUUUGAUCUUUCUUAGCAUUUUUAAUACUGUAAUUCUCAACUGAAAGUUGUGGUCAUUUGCAAUUUUCCUCCAAAGCUCAAUGAUGGCGGGGCAUUUUCUCUUGGUUAUUGCUCAAAAUUACAACUGUUAAUGACUGCUAUGUGUUAUGAGUUGUUGAAGCAUUUAGAUUUAUUUUGCUGUGUCAAAUGAAGAUAUCAAUGGAUGAAGUGUAACUUUUUGGUGA